GGAUCAUUAUCGGUCUUCUCGCUCGCAGCGGUACCAAACGUUGUGUAGGCAAGAAACUGACGUCUCGAAAAUAUGUCCAUUCGUCGAACGGGAGGGCCCGCAUGAAGCGCCGCCUCUCAACCGACUGUCCGUUCCCUUUUUUUUCUGGGGUACCUACAGAGUCCUAGGUGCGAUCCACGGUGACGGUUUGAGUUUUACUCGCCGGAUCGCUAGGUUUAAAGAACGCUGCGAAGAUUUUGCUGGUCUUCGUGUGUCCUAAUAUUGCGUCGCCCCAGAAGUUAAACUUCGUCUCGUCUGUCAAUCUAUCAAAGUCGUUGGGGGCACCUAUGCACCAAAACUGCUCGUUCAGUGUCUUACGGUGCGGUAGCUCUUCUCAGCAGAGGCCGCGAGGUUCAAAGAGGUCGGCGUGCUUGUUUUGCCGGUCCGCCCCUCGACUGAUACAUAUUUUUUUUCAUCGCUUCGCAAAAAACGUGCUUUUGAAAGUUGCUUGUCAUAUCAAGCAAGUUGUAAAUACGGACG
RNAcentral lists this unclassified non-coding RNA (519 nucleotides) under Ambigolimax valentianus. RNAcentral's name for it is "partial ITS1". Lineage: Eukaryota; Metazoa; Mollusca; Gastropoda; Stylommatophora; Limacidae. The record is from RNAcentral.